Molecule: long non-coding RNA, 1430 nt
Organism: Cottoperca gobio
Lineage: Eukaryota; Metazoa; Chordata; Actinopteri; Perciformes; Bovichtidae
Exons: 3
Source: RefSeq, a predicted model, not a curated record
AUUGCACUUUUGUUGGCACCAUUUUCAGUAGCCACAAAUGUUUGUGUGGGUACACUGCAAUAGACGCUGAGGACAAUUGGGUGUUUUCGGGGAACGCCACCUUGAAUGUGACCUCAUUGUGCAGCUCGUGGUUGCCUUUUCUGGGGAUUUCCUUUGUUGCUGCUUUAUUGCAAACAGAGUACAAAGAAGGUUUACUGUAUAGGAUUCAGUUAAGUACAGGUUAUACUGUAUUUGUGUGAGGACACCUUAAACCUGCUUUACCUGUGAUAUGUAACGCAGCGCUGUUUGACUGUUUCCCAGCAGUAUUCUCAGCUAUGCAGGUGUAUAUCCCAGCAUCUCCAGCUUUACAUUGAGUCAGAGCCAGACUGGCAACACCAUUUAGGAAGGAAGUAUUACUCGAGGGCACCCUCUCACCUAAAUGACAAAAUAACAAUGGGCAAACAGAUGUUUUUACUGUAGAAGAUGAUCAUCAAAAUCCCUCUAAACACAGGAUAUUGAAGGUUGAUCCCUGCUGAUAAUGGAGAGGAGACUGUACAGUCCCUGAGUGGUUGUUUGAAGUGAAGAGGCGGUUCAAGUGACUGGACCCGUGUCCGUCUGGAAUCUAAGCAGAGGGGAGAAGUUCAGGACAAUCGGGUUUGUUUUUAGAUGCGAUACAUUCAGGGUUCCUACACCCACUCCUUUUCCAAAGUGAAAUUCAAGCGUUUUCAAGGUGCAUUCAGGACAAUCUAGUACAAUCCAAUACAUCUGUGCUGCCAUAAUGUUUACUAUUAUGAUGCUUAUAUGUUUUUUUUGUUUUUUUUUUAUUGAUAUGUUUUAUUAUAUUGAGAGGUGUUUCUAGUAUUCAGCUCCUUUCAUGUAUAGAAAUAGGCAGGACAAAAAAUGAGAAAAUAUUCCAAAAUAAUGGUAAAGAUUGGAACAAAAAUUACAAUCACAUCAGAAAACAACAAUGUGUAAAAUGUUUUUGCACAUUUGUAAUGGCCACAUUAAAAUUCAAGUGUUUUCAAGGAUUCCCAGCACCCAUACGAGCCCUGGAGAAGUCAUGAGCGAAUGUUUCAGGGGAGAGUGAGGGGCCUUUCCACUCCCGACAUGAUCUAACUGAUCAAAGUGUUGAUGAACUUUAAAUGCACCGUGUGAAUGCAAAUGUAGUCAAAAAUGAAAAUAUUAAAACUGUAAGCUGAUGUGGGUGUGUAGUAUUCAUCUGUUUGGCCUCCAGGCAGGGCAGCGACUUCCAGUUAAUUGCACUCAUGUAUUUUGGUGUAUGUGUACAUUUGGGGAAGAAAAGUUGCAUGUCACUCCUGUGCACUCUGAAAAGCCUGAGGACAUUUCUGUUAACAACAGUAACUUAAUAACAAACAUGUGUUAUAAUAAUCCUGUUAUUUAUGUACCGGUAUAUAGAGCUCUAAAAGUAGCAAACUAGCCUCAGGGGAGCU